RNAcentral lists this ribosomal RNA (459 nucleotides) under uncultured bacterium. RNAcentral's name for it is "partial 16S ribosomal RNA". It matches the Rfam family "Bacterial small subunit ribosomal RNA", at positions 338 to 795 of the family's 1533-position model. The record is from RNAcentral.
CCUACGGGGGGCUGCAGUGAGGAAUAUUGGUCAAUGGCCGGAAGGCUGAACCAGCCAUGCCGCGUGAAGGUCAGUGCCCUAUGGGCGUUAAACUUCUUUUGUGCGGGAGCAACGCCGGCUACGUGUAGCCGGACUGAGAGUACCUGAAGAAAAAGCAUCGGCUAACUCCGUGCCAGCAGCCGCGGUAAUCCGGAGGAUGCGAGCGUUAUCCGGAUUUCUUGGGUUUAAAGGGUGCGUAGGCGGAAUGCCAAGUCAGCGGUAAAAUCGCGGGGCUCAACCUCGCUCCGCCGUUGAAACUGGCGUUCUUGAGGGGGAGAGAAGUAUGCGGAAUGCGUGGUGUAGCGGUGAAAUGCAGAGAUAUCACGCAGAACUCCGAUUGCGAAGGCAGCAUACCGGCGCCCAACUGACGCUGAAGCACGAAAGCGUGGGUAUCGAACAGGAUUAGAUACCCCAGUAGUC